RNAcentral lists this unclassified non-coding RNA (389 nucleotides) under uncultured fungus. RNAcentral's name for it is "partial contains 5.8S ribosomal RNA and internal transcribed spacer 2". The stretch from base 1 to 133 matches the Rfam family "5.8S ribosomal RNA", at positions 22 to 154 of the family's 154-position model. The record is from RNAcentral. Lineage: Eukaryota; Fungi.
UGGUUCCCGCAUCGAUGAAGAACGCAGCGAAAUGCGAUACGUAAUGUGAAUUGCAGAAUUCAGUGAAUCAUCGAAUCUUUGAACGCACCUUGCACUCUUUGGUAUUCCGAAGAGUAUGCCUGUUUGAGUGUCGUGAAUCUCUCAACCCCCCUGUUUUGUAAUGAGACGGGCGUUUGGGCUUGGAUUAUGGCUGCCUGUCGGACCGUUAACUCGGAUCGGCUCAGCUGAAAUACACGAGCGCACCCAGCUUUGAAUAGCAGCGGCUUGACUCGGCGUAAUAAUAUUAUUCGCUGAUUACGUUGCAAUCAAUUUUCAAACCGAGGACGCUUCUAAUGCGACUAUCAGUCAUUUUUAUUUUAGACCUCAAAUCAGGCAGGACUACCCGCUGA